RNAcentral lists this ribosomal RNA (253 nucleotides) under uncultured bacterium. RNAcentral describes it as "partial 16S ribosomal RNA". It matches the Rfam family "Bacterial small subunit ribosomal RNA", at positions 524 to 776 of the family's 1533-position model. The record is from RNAcentral.
UACGAAGGGGGCUAGCGUUGUUCGGAAUUACUGGGCGUAAAGCGCACGUAGGCGGAUACUUAAGUCAGGGGUGAAAUCCCGGGGCUCAACCCCGGAACUGCCUUUGAUACUGGGUAUCUCGAGUCCGGAAGAGGUGAGUGGAAUUCCGAGUGUAGAGGUGAAAUUCGUAGAUAUUCGGAGGAACACCAGUGGCGAAGGCGGCUCACUGGUCCGGUACUGACGCUGAGGUGCGAAAGCGUGGGGUGCAAACAGG